AGGUGAACCUGCUGANGGAUCAUUACUGGANAUAUACAAUACAAUAUAUAUUUUUUUCCCAUUACGUAUAUACCUUCGGGUCUAAGCGUAUAAGAAAAUUAUAUAUAUUACACUUUAUAUGACACACACCCGUGUAUGUGUAUGUAAUAUAUGUAUUUUCGAUCGCCCGACAUUCAGUUACGUGCGCGAAAGUAUAAUAUUUACACUAUCACACACACACACACAUUUUCAUAAAACAAGCCACAGCCUGUGAGACAUAAAAUACAUUUGUGCUUAACGAUCGCCCGACAUUCAGUUACGUGCGCGAAGGUACAUUUUUUUAUGAUUUUUGCGGGUGACACCCUUUUCAACUGGAUCACCUAACUCAAUUCUGCUCUACGGAGUCUAAACCAGACAUAAGAAUUAUUACUGUGUAUAUAUUUUUAAUCACUGUGAACAAUGUAUAUGCUUACGUUACCUUCACGGGUAACUGCCCACAUACACAUACGCACAUUUUUUAUAAUAUAUACGUAUAAUAAAUUUUCGUUAUGUAGACAUGCAUCAUGCAUAUUACGAUACACCUGCAUGAGCGAUGGAUCUCUUGGUUCCUUGCAUCGUUGAAAGGUCGCAGCGAAUUGCGAAAUGUUGGUCGUGUGAAUUGCAAGACACAUUGGCCCUUUUUCGGGCUGCGGAACACCUUACUCACUGAACGUAUAUAUCGCUUAGCAGAUUAAUCUAUGUGUUCGCACAUAGACUGCAGCGCGCUCGGUUGAGAGUGCUUUGCGUUUAUAUAAUCAUUCUUCCAAUGAUAUAUAACAAACACAUAUUUUUUUCAUCUCGUGACCUCACUGCGAGUGGAAAUUUUCUAUAUUUUCUCCUAUGAACAGCGUUACGCUUAAAUACACACACCGUGUAUAACAAGACAGUAGCAAACACCGGGUCAAUAUUUCUUAAUUGCUAAUAUUCCCUAUACGUAUCGUAUGGCAUAUAAAGCGGUAACCAUAUCGGAAUUCUACUAGAUUAUAAGAUGUGAUAGUGUAUUCCCUGCCAACGAACUCGUAUAUAGCGUAUAAUAUAUAUUUACUUACUUCGACAUAACACAACAGACACACAUACACACACACACACAAAAUUGUCGAUAGAAAUUUUUUUAUACGUGCGUAUAUUCAUACACCGUCAUAGUUGAUCACAACGCGUACGGAAUAUACAUACGCACAUAUAUAUAUUUUUUUUUAUCCGACACCCGUGUGUCUGAAUGUCAAGGUGACAAUACUAAUAUAC
This 1260-nucleotide unclassified non-coding RNA is filed under the name Trifarina earlandi. RNAcentral describes it as "sequence contains 18S rRNA gene, ITS1, 5.8S rRNA gene, ITS2 and 28S rRNA gene". The stretch from base 561 to 758 matches the Rfam family "5.8S ribosomal RNA". Lineage: Eukaryota; Foraminifera; Rotaliida; Uvigerinidae. The record is from RNAcentral.